RNAcentral lists this ribosomal RNA (1284 nucleotides) under Pseudomonas poae. RNAcentral describes it as "partial 23S ribosomal RNA". It matches the Rfam family "Bacterial large subunit ribosomal RNA", at positions 1 to 1329 of the family's 2925-position model. The record is from RNAcentral. Lineage: Bacteria; Pseudomonadati; Pseudomonadota; Gammaproteobacteria; Pseudomonadales; Pseudomonadaceae.
GUUAUAUGGUCAAGUGAAGAAGCGCAUACGGUGGAUGCCUUGGCAGUCAGAGGCGAUGAAAGACGUGGUAGCCUGCGAAAAGCUUCGGGGAGUCGGCAAACAGACUUUGAUCCGGAGAUGUCUGAAUGGGGGAACCCAGCCAUCAUAAGAUGGUUAUCUUGUACUGAAUACAUAGGUGCAAGAAGCGAACCAGGGGAACUGAAACAUCUAAGUACCCUGAGGAAAAGAAAUCAACCGAGAUUCCCUUAGUAGUGGCGAGCGAACGGGGACUAGCCCUUAAGUGGCUUUGAGAUUAGCGGAACGCUCUGGAAAGUGCGGCCAUAGUGGGUGAUAGCCCUGUACGCGAAAAUCUCUUAGUCAUGAAAUCGAGUAGGACGGAGCACGAGAAACUUUGUCUGAAUAUGGGGGGACCAUCCUCCAAGGCUAAAUACUACUGACUGACCGAUAGUGAACUAGUACCGUGAGGGAAAGGCGAAAAGAACCCCGGAGAGGGGAGUGAAAUAGAUCCUGAAACCGUAUGCGUACAAGCAGUGGGAGCAGACUUUGUUCUGUGACUGCGUACCUUUUGUAUAAUGGGUCAGCGACUUAUUUUCAGUGGCGAGCUUAACCGAAUAGGGGAGGCGUAGCGAAAGCGAGUCUUAAUAGGGCGUCUAGUCGCUGGGAAUAGACCCGAAACCGGGCGAUCUAUCCAUGGGCAGGUUGAAGGUUGGGUAACACUAACUGGAGGACCGAACCGACUACCGUUGAAAAGUUAGCGGAUGACCUGUGGAUCGGAGUGAAAGGCUAAUCAAGCUCGGAGAUAGCUGGUUCUCCUCGAAAGCUAUUUAGGUAGCGCCUCAUGUAUCACUGUAGGGGGUAGAGCACUGUUUCGGCUAGGGGGUCAUCCCGACUUACCAAACCGAUGCAAACUCCGAAUACCUACAAGUGCCGAGCAUGGGAGACACACGGCGGGUGCUAACGUCCGUCGUGAAAAGGGAAACAACCCAGACCGUCAGCUAAGGUCCCAAAGUUAUGGUUAAGUGGGAAACGAUGUGGGAAGGCUUAGACAGCUAGGAGGUUGGCUUAGAAGCAGCCACCCUUUAAAGAAAGCGUAAUAGCUCACUAGUCGAGUCGGCCUGCGCGGAAGAUGUAACGGGGCUCAAACCAUACACCGAAGCUACGGGUAUCACGUAAGUGAUGCGGUAGAGGAGCGUUCUGUAAGCCUGUGAAGGUGAGUUGAGAAGCUUGCUGGAGGUAUCAGAAGUGCGAAUGCUGACAUGAGUAACGACAAUGGGUGUGAAAAAC